This 2824-nucleotide long non-coding RNA is filed under the name Olea europaea subsp. europaea. Lineage: Eukaryota; Viridiplantae; Streptophyta; Magnoliopsida; Lamiales; Oleaceae. The record is from RNAcentral.
UGUAACCGUUCUUCCAUAUCUUUCUCUUUCCCUCUGCAAUAAAGCCACAACCACAACUCACUCUCUUUUCCAAAUCAAAGAAAUGGCCAUCGCCACCACUAUAUCUAUACUACAAUCAUCCUCCGUUCGUAACGUCACCAGAAGCUCAGCUCCCAAGCGAAGGUCGCUCGAUUUUCCUUCAAUUUUUUGAAAUCGAAGCAAAUAUGAAUCUAUUUUUCGAAAUCUGAUCCUCCGCCCUCCCGCUUCGCCACUCAUAUUCCACGAUGAAUAAUGGCAACGCCUAACCACUAAUCCACUGAUAGAAUGUUGAAAUCUGAGCUUCUCAAUCACCCGAUGGUAUGGAAAAGUUGUUCCCAUCCUCAACAAUUGUUCGCUUAGCUUCCCCUCUGGACAGUUCUGGAUGCUUCUUGUCCCCAAUGGCUGUGGAAAAUUCAUCCUCAAAAGUAUGUAUGCACAUACUACAUACUUCUAGUUUAAAUUAUAUCUUUUAAUUCCAAAAUUUUAACAUUAUUUCCAAUUUAAAGCAUGGACACAAACUUUUGGGUGUUGCAGGAUUGUUCUUGCUGUGUGCAUUGAUUGCUUGUACCUUUCUUCGUCUGGAGUGCCUUCUUUCUUUUUUAAAGUAUGAAUUUCCAAUUUAAAGCAUAGAUACAAAGCUCAUUUUCUCUAUUCAAGUAAGGAAUCAUAAGCAGAAGCCUUCGGGUUGUAUAACAUCACAUAGUUUGUUACUACUUACUUUUAUUCAAAAAUUUCAAUUAUACAUUGCGCUGGGUGCUUCUUAUCAUAACCAAGUUGGCUUUUAGUUAUAAUAACAAGUUAAUUAAAUAGACAAUCACUAACAUUUCACUUCGGUUACUACUUACUCACUCAAAAAUAAAAUUACCGAUCACUCACCGACUUUAAAAAAAAAAAAAAAAAACCCACGUGGUAGAUGAAGGUCAUAUGUGGACGUAACGGUGUUAAAUAUUUUGACAACGUGGACCAAAAUCAAUUAAAUUUAAAUAGGUUUUUUCUUCCAAAUUUUCCAUUGCAUUUUUCCCAGAACACUGGGCGAUUGUCUGGGGCCCCAAAUCAAUUUCUACUCCACAACAUUACUCAAUUCUUCCUUGCAUCAAAUCCAAAUCACCCCAAAUCAAGAAACCAUUGCAUAUUGAACUCCCGUUGGAAAAAUCCCCAAAUUCAUAUGAACCCAUAAAUUCCUUUACAUGCCCCACAAAUGGCGGACAACAUUAUUAUUGAAGAAGUAAUCUUGGAGACAACAUAUGAGGGACCACAAGGAGGUAAUAUCCUAAAAUAUUUUUGGAGGAACACUUUAUUGGACCACUUUGUCAAACACUUUGUUUUUGGAAUAUCAAGUGUUGUACUCAGUUACAUUGAAUUUUCAUUUUUUUUAAUUGCAAUACUUUCUCAAAUUUUAGUGAUUAUAACAUUUUCUUCGUAUAUUUUCAUGGCUUUAUGCUAUCUAUUUUGUGGGUUUCCAUUUCUUCAGUUAUGUCAGUUUUCUUCUGAUUUUAGAGCUCUCGUUAUUACAUCUCAAUGACAAUCUUGUAUGCGGUGAUAGACUUCAAUGUUUUGCCACUUGUUUUUCUGGAAAUUUUUUUCACUAAAUAAUAAUUAAAACACAUGCUGGCCAGUAUAAAAUUUUUUUCACUAAAUUUUUUUCAGUAGUAAUGCUUCUUGUUACUGCUGAAAUUCAGGUACAGAUACUAAUUUCCCAUUUACAGAUAAAAAUUUAAAAAUAUUGAUGCUAUUGAUCUUUGGUUGCUAAUGUUGUAUAUCUUUAAAAAUACUGAUGCUACUUAUACUUUAAAAAGGCAAGACUUUGUGGAUUUAGGCAGAAGCUCAACGAUGCUACUUAAUAAAUGAAGAAAUUUGGGCAGAAAGAAUUAUUAUAUGUGGUAAAGGAAUCAUUUUGUGCAUGUAUCUUUGACCAUUUGUAAUCUGAAAUCUUGAACAGGAACUGAUUGUGAUUGUCACAAUCUGUCAUAUGACAUUUUUGGUUAAUAUCAUAUAUAAAUUGGGGAUUUAAGGGAUGACAAGAGUUCAAGUUUACAUAAGGGCACUGACUCCACAAAACACAGAAAUUUGGGCAGAAUGACACUGAUGUAUUUAGGCAAAAGGGCACUUAUAUUUUGGUUUCCCUUCAUUUUUGGGUAAAUAUCUUUACUUCAAAAAAAUUUCCAGCGAAGGAUCUUUCCACAACAAACAUAAAAUGUAACCAACAUGAACACAAAAGGAACCUAUUCAAUUAAAAACUGCAAAAAAAAAAAAAAAAAAAAAAAUCUGAUUUCCAUUGAAGAUUCCCCAACCAUCAAUACAACACAUACACCUACCACUACAACCAUUGACUCCACAAUUAUGUCAAACAGCCGAACAUCUACCAUCACCAUCUACAUUCCUACAUGAUCAAGACUUUCAAACACCAACAACAACCUACCAGUUACACAUUCAAAACACAGUAACAACCUAUUAAAUGUUCCCUGUAAUUUCAAUCAGAAUCAGCACAUAAAUUUGUGAUGUAAUCUUCACUUUGAUCAAGCCAAAUCCCAAAACAGUCUUUCGGAGUUGUUCUCCAUCCAUGAGGACUUUGUGACAGCUCUCUAACCACAAUGACACAAAAUUUGUAAGAAAUUCUAUGAUAUCAUGAAGAAUUUUCCAUGAUGAGGUAAAAUAAUUGGUUUUCUUUAUAGGGUUCGUUUCAAUUUGAGAGCGAUUCGGGGGUGGUUUGGAUUCUUGGUUUCCCUGGAGAGAUUGGUCUGGAAGGAAAGGUUUGUUGAUUUGGGUGGAAAUUGAAGGGUUGUUAUGGAGAAAAAAUGGAUUUAGG